GGUACCGCAUUUUUUUUUUAUUUUUGAGUUAAAGAAAGUUGUGGGGCCAGUACGUUGGCAUUCAUUUUUUUUUCCUGUUAUCACUAGGAUUGGCCUCUGCAGUCUGCACAUGCAUGUGUGGCACUGUGGCAUGAGUCGUUUAUGUCUCCCCCCCUUUUUUAUUGCGCCCAUGCCAGAAAUUCACAUAUUUUUUUCCCAACAGUACAUAGGGAUAUAUACACAUGGCUGGCUUGGCUAAUAUUCAUAUCAACAACAAGAAAUGGU
RNAcentral lists this long non-coding RNA (264 nucleotides) under Sorghum bicolor (sorghum). RNAcentral's name for it is "long non-coding RNA (SBIC_LNC009828)". Lineage: Eukaryota; Viridiplantae; Streptophyta; Magnoliopsida; Poales; Poaceae. The record is from RNAcentral.